This is a non-coding RNA of Podarcis lilfordi (Lilford's wall lizard), 3358 nucleotides long. The record is from the annotation of a GenBank genome assembly. Lineage: Eukaryota; Metazoa; Chordata; Lepidosauria; Squamata; Lacertidae.
UGUGUGUGUGUGUGUGUGUGUGUGUGUGCAGGCACACACACGUGUGUGUGAUAUUUUCGAGUGACAUUUAAGAGUGUGGGAGCUUCCAUUUGGAUCCCUCUAUCUUGGCUCGCUCCUCUUCCUUCCACUCACACUCUUUUUUUCCAAGAGCAAUUUCGUAUUUUCUUCUGCGAGGCUCUCCGGUUGCCAACAUGGAGGAGAGCCAUUGUUGGAAGUGGGGAAGGCAGCCGAGCUGGCGUCGAGCGAGGCACUGGCAGAGGGAAGGGAAACCCUUCUGUGUCAAGAGGGCCUGGCCAUGGCAAGGCUCUGCAGCCCAUGCCACUCUCUUUCUCUCUCUCUAUGCCUUCCUGCCAACAGCCUCUGUUUGCCCUCAUGCCAAAGCUUAUUGGGGGAGACGGUGUGUGUUAUCUUCAUGGCUGCCUAAUUAAUAACCCAGCUGACAGUUUCCAUAAUAAUUACCUUACCUAAAGUGAAGGGGGAAACAGAGCAAAGUCCCUGCGCGUGUAUUUAAAUGAGACAUGCUAACAACACUCUUCCUUCCCCUCCCCAGUCAUAAUCAUAUGCUGAUUUCCAGUAGCAAUCAGGACUAGAAGUAGCCUUUUCUCUGUGUGUUUGUGUGUUGGGUUUUGCUCGCAAAACUGACGAGGCAGUUUUCUCCCAAACCUCUGCUGUCUUGACCUCAUUGUAAUAGAGCUCUGGCCUAUGGAGGACUCCUGGAAAGAAACAGGAGACAGCAAAGGAAAGAGAAAUGUAUUGAGGAGGGUCCCGUCGUUGGGAUGUCCAUGGGAAGUGUCCAGAGCAGUGAGAGAGCCUGCUUCAUGAAGCUCUAUCGGGCUAAAGAGACGCAUCCUGUGGGACAAAAAAACAACAGCAACAUAAGAACCUAGGAAGCUGCCUUAGAAUCAAAGAGUUAGAAGGGACCACAAGGGGCAUCUAGUCCAACCCCUGGCAACACAGGAAUCUUUUGCCCAACGUGGGUCUCAAACUCACAACCCUAAGAUUAAGAGUCUUGUGCAGACUGAGCUGAGGUCAAUUGGAUUUCGUCUUAAUUUGGGUUCUCUGAAAGUGAAGCAGGGGAUGAAUACCUGCUUCAGUCAGUGAUGUUUCAGUUCAGUGCUUUAUUUUCCCCUUGAAAAUCUUCCAUUUCUUAAAGAACAAUGAGUGGGUGCCAAUAAUAAGUACAAUAUUCGGCAAGUUUUUAGCUUUGCUCACUCGGUGCAAAGAAAGCAAACUAUUAAAAUAGAAAUAUACGUAAAAUGAAGGAACAUGGUGAAUCUUAGGGCUAGGUGGGAGACCUUAUACUAAGCCAGACUGUUGGUCCAUCAAGCUGAGUGUUGUCCACACUGACUGGCAACAGCUUUCCAGGGUUUCAAGCGCAAGUCUUUUCUCAGCCGUCUCUGAAGGUGCUAGGAAUUGUAUCCGGGACCUUUUGAGUGUCCUUCCCUCAACGAAUAAUAAAAAGGACCCCUGGCCAUUAGGUCCAUUAGGGCAAGGGGGCAGUGAGAUUAAAGGUAAAGGGACCCCUGACCAUUAGGUCCAGUCAUGGCCAACUCUGGGGUUGCGGCGCUCAUCAAGCUUUAUUGGCCGAGGGAACCGGCGUACCGCUUCCGGGUCAUGUGGCCAGCAAGACUAAGCCGCUUCUGGCGAACCAGAGCAGCGCACAGAAACGCCGUUUACCUUUCCACCAGAGCAGUACCUAUUUAUCUACUUGCACUUUGACGUGCUUUCGAACUGCUAGCUUGGCAGGAGCAGGGACCGAGCAACGGGAGCUCACCCCAUCGCAGUGAUUCGAACCGCCGACCUUCUGAUCGGCAAGUCCUAGGCUCUGUGCUUUAACCCACAGCACCACCCAUGUGUUAAAUAAUUAAAUAACAUGUUCCCUCCAGAGCAGAUACAUAUUUGUUUGUUGGGUUUAUAUCCUGCCUGCCUUCCUGAAGGAGCCCAGGGCAGCAAACAUAUCCACGUUUUUUUAAAACAGAAAAGCACUCACAGAAUCAUAGUAUUGUCGAGUUGGAAGGGGCCCAGACAGGCCUGGGAGAGCUCAGUCAGUAGAGCAGGAGACUCUGAAUCUCAGGGCUGUGGGUUCGAAUCCCACGUUGGGCAAAAGAUUCCUGUAUUGCCGGGGGUUGGGCUAGAUGAGCCCUCAUAGUCCCUGCCAACUCUACAAUUCUAUGAUUCUAUGAUCUAGUGCAACCCCCGGCAAUACAGGAGUAUGCAGUUGUCCCACACGGCAAUCAAACCUACAACCUUGGCAUUAUCAGCACCACACUCUAGCCAACUGAGCGAACACAGUUAAGGCAUUCUAAAAACAGCUUCAAUUCAAAACAUCUAGAAGCAGUUUCAGUCAAAAACAUCCUAUAAACAGUUACAAUUAAAAAGCAUGAUUUCAUAACAUGAUUCAGGCUCUGAAACUGCAUCCAAGCCUGUAGAGUUUGUUAUUCUGGACCAGUUAUAAUCUCUUGGGCAUUACACACACACACACACACACACACACACACACAGCACACCUCAUUCUCUGGCUCCUCUUUUCUAGAGAAGAGCAAGGGUAGGACUGGGGGGCAGGGACUUAGGCUGGAUCCGACACCUAUUCAACUUGGGGCUUAUUCACACUUAUCUUUCCUCCACGAUUUAAAGCUCCAUGUCUGAGCACCCUUUUCCUCCCAUGCUGUGGAGCUUUCUCCAUCCAAACCUGCUCCAUUUGCCCCAAUGGAGCAAACAUCAGUCUGCGGAAAAUCCAGAAUUGACGUUUGCUCCUGUUCAGCUUUAAAGAGCAGGUUUUUUAGUGGGGAAAGCUCGGGGCAAAGAAAUAAUAAACAUUUGGAUGUGGAGCGUCAAAGCAUUGACCUCCAUGUGGUAAAAUGUGUGGAUAAGCUCUGCUGGCAACCUGGCAGAGAGUAUAAAUUUAAAGGCUUGCUUUUCCUCUGCCAACCUUAGGAAGAGCGGCGGCAGCAACCUCAGUUCUGAACAGGGUAUAGAUCUGGCAUAGCUUUAAGCCAGUGUACAAAUGUCCAUAGAAACUAGCCGAGUUGAUGAAAGUUUUGAAAAGAGCAACAACAUACAUUUGUUGCCCCACCCACUUUUCCCUCUAGCAUGGGACUCCUGGGGGGAUUGCCUUGGGCUGAAGAAAGCCCCCAGCCUUGUUCUCAUGAGAUAAAUUGGGGCUUGACGGGCACCUUCUGUGGUUGAGAGGCCCUUAGUAGCUCUUUUCAUGUUCCUUGCCUCUAGGCGAACAGUGUCAAAACACGCAGACAUAUAAAAAAUAAGAAACAUCAUCUCAUAAACAUACCUGAACUACCAUCUGGCAACUAUCCCAGCAGCCUGGUGAUCUCUUUAGUUCCCCAGCAUGCAGUUUUAUUUU